CACGUAGGGGGCGAGCGUUGUCCGGAUUUAUUGGGCGUAAAGAGCUCGUAGGCGGCUCGGUAAGUCGGGUGUGAAAACUCUAGGCUCAACCUAGAGACGCCACCUGAUACUGCUGUGGCUAGAGUCCGGUAGGGGAGCAUGGAACUCCUGGUGUAGCGGUGAAAUGCGCAGAUAUCAGGAGGAACACCAGUGGCGAAGGCGGUGCUCUGGGCCGGUACUGACGCUGAGGAGCGAAAGCGUGGGGAGCAAACAGG
RNAcentral lists this ribosomal RNA (254 nucleotides) under uncultured bacterium. RNAcentral describes it as "partial 16S ribosomal RNA". It matches the Rfam family "Bacterial small subunit ribosomal RNA", at positions 524 to 776 of the family's 1533-position model. The record is from RNAcentral.